CAAUAGCGUAUAUUAAAGCUGUUGCGGUUAAAAAGCUCGUAGUUGGAUUUCUGUCAAGGACAACUGGUCCGCCCCUCGGGUGAGCACAUAGUUUGGUCUUGGCAUCUUGUUGGAAACUGUUGCUGCACUUGGUUGUGUGGCGCAGUGUCCAGCACUCUCACUUUGAGGAAAUUGGAGUGUUUCAAGCAGGCACAUGCCUUUGGACACAGUAGCAUGGAAUAAUUAGAUUGGGCUUUUGCUCCAACUUGUCGGUUUCUGGAGCUGAGGUGAGAAUUAAUGGGGAUUGUUGGGGGCAUCCGAAUUUAGCCGUCAGAGGUGAAAUUCUUGGAUCUGCUAAAGACGGACAACUGCGAAAGCGUUUGCCCAGGAUGUUUUCAUUGA
RNAcentral lists this ribosomal RNA (381 nucleotides) under uncultured eukaryote. Its description in RNAcentral is "partial 18S ribosomal RNA". It matches the Rfam family "Eukaryotic small subunit ribosomal RNA", at positions 592 to 976 of the family's 1831-position model. The record is from RNAcentral.